Molecule: non-coding RNA, 21 nt
Organism: Caenorhabditis elegans
Lineage: Eukaryota; Metazoa; Nematoda; Chromadorea; Rhabditida; Rhabditidae
Source: Ensembl
UUUUCUGCUGACCAUUUAAAU